GCCCGGGUGGCGAAAUUGGUAGACGCAGGGGACUCAAAAUCCCCCGCCGCAAGGCGUGCCGGUUCGAGUCCGGCCCCGGGCA
This 82-nucleotide transfer RNA is filed under the name Vogesella sp. LIG4. It matches the Rfam family "tRNA". Rfam says of the family: Transfer RNA (tRNA) molecules are approximately 80 nucleotides in length. Their secondary structure includes four short double-helical elements and three loops (D, anti-codon, and T loops). Lineage: Bacteria; Pseudomonadati; Pseudomonadota; Betaproteobacteria; Neisseriales; Chromobacteriaceae. The record is from Rfam by way of RNAcentral.